RNAcentral lists this long non-coding RNA (795 nucleotides) under Rattus norvegicus (Norway rat). RNAcentral's name for it is "long non-coding RNA NONRATT022296". The record is from RNAcentral. Lineage: Eukaryota; Metazoa; Chordata; Mammalia; Rodentia; Muridae.
CACGCUCCAUGCCUUUGAAUGAUCAUCCAGUGAUCAUUCAUGACUGUUGGCCUGGAAAUGGAGCUGAGAAUUAACUAGUAACGGCUGGAUAGGAUCCAAAGAAGAGGUCAUUUACCAGCUGGAGCCAAGGACUGAUGUGGAGCAUGUGAAGUCGUUGCCUUGCAUGAACUAGGAACUGGUUAGAAGGGCGGACUCUCACGUUGUCCCAUCUUUGGUCGACUGAACCAGAUUCUACAUCUUAAGGCCGCUCCAAGGUGCUUCUAUGCAAAUUAAAGUAUGCGAUCUCACCUCUGUUUUGUGCAGAAGGGCAGGAGUGGCUUUCUCAUGACUAAGCGUCAUGGUGGACUCCCAUGUUUUCCGAAAGGCGCAGUGCCCUGUGAUAUGCACAAUUAUUCCAACUGUAGCAAAGACUGUGGCCAGAUAGCACUGACCUGAGAUAAGGGGAGAGAGGACUGUGACACUCACAAAGCCCCCUCCUAAGAAGACUCAGUUGCUGGGCGCCAAGAGGCUCGUGAGACACUAGAUGAGGCAACUGCACUUUCAGGGAUAGAUAGAUACUAUAGAUGAAUUUUCUGCAGCCCGCUGAUGUGUUAGACCUGUGCAUGCUGGUCCGCUGCAAGGGUUUGAGGCGAUCAGUUCCUUGGGACAGCAAAGGCAAUUCCCAGGAACUGUCUCUCCUAAGCCUGCAGCUUCUCAGCAAAUAAAAGGGGCUCAGAGCAAUGCUCAAGGCCAGACUCACGCUCUUCACAAAGUCGUCCCAUCCAACCGUCUGGGCAGGAGCAAGCGUUUGGUCGU